Gossypium arboreum is the source of this 636-nucleotide long non-coding RNA. RefSeq lists it as uncharacterized. The record is from RefSeq and is a predicted model, not a curated record. The transcript is spliced from 2 exons. Lineage: Eukaryota; Viridiplantae; Streptophyta; Magnoliopsida; Malvales; Malvaceae.
UUUGAAAGAAAAUAAAACAAAUCAGACACAAAUGGGAGCAGAUCAUAGCGAGGCACAAAGAGGAAGGACCUGCCGCACAAAUAAUCCAUUUUAGGCGUAAAGGCGCAAAUCCGGGUCUCCAGGUGGGUUGACACGCGGACCCUCCCCUUUCUUAAAUGGCACCGUUUUGAUUUUGAUGCUAAAAUCCCUACUUUCAUUCAUUUUCUUUUCAAAACACAGAUGAAAAAAUAGCACCCUUGCUUUGUGAGGGCUCAUUUCAUCGCGCAGACACUAACCUUCAUCGGUUUGAUGGCCAAUGGUGCGGAUAAUGGCCGGAUCUUACCAACGGAGGCCGCGAUUCUGGAAAUCUGGUUCAGUUGUACGGAGAAGAUGACCUGGUGAUAUGGAGGCUGUACGCGGGUAUCUCACGUGGGAAGCCGACCCUCUGGUGCCCUUCCAAUGUAUUCCAGAACCUUCUGGAUACUUGGCUGCUGAAAUCCUUUUUUCUUUUGGGUUCUUUCGGGUUUGGGUUGGGUUUAGGAUAUGGGUUUAUGAAUUUGGGUUAAAAUCGUAUUUGGGCUGGUAUAAGCUCUUUAUUUGGGCCUAAAAAUUUGUAAAAAGAUAUUAGUAAUGGACUUUUAUUGGUUUUUAUCUUAA